GACGAACGCUGGCGGCGUGCCUAAUACAUGCCAGUUGAGCGAUGAAGAUUGGUGCUUGCACCAAUUUGAAGAGCAGCGAACGGGUGAGUAACGCGUGGGGAAUCUGCCUUUGAGCGGGGGACAACAUUUGGAAACGAAUGCUAAUACCGCAUAAUAACUUUAAACAUAAGUUUUAAGUUUGAAAGAUGCAAUUGCAUCACUCAAAGAUGAUCCCGCGUUGUAUUAGCUAGUUGGUGAGGUAAAGGCUCACCAAGGCGAUGAUACAUAGCCGACCUGAGAGGGUGAUCGGCCACAUUGGGACUGAGACACGGCCCAAACUCCUACGGGAGGCAGCAGUAGGGAAUCUUCGGCAAUGGACGAAAGUCUGACCGAGCAACGCCGCGUGAGUGAAGAAGGGUUUCGGAUCGUAAAACUCUGUUGGUAGAGAAGAACGUUGGUGAGAGUGGAAAGCUCAUCAAGUGACGGUAACUACCCAGAAAGGGACGGCUAACUACGUG
This 497-nucleotide ribosomal RNA is filed under the name uncultured bacterium. Its description in RNAcentral is "partial 16S ribosomal RNA". It matches the Rfam family "Bacterial small subunit ribosomal RNA", at positions 28 to 507 of the family's 1533-position model. The record is from RNAcentral.